Molecule: ribosomal RNA, 494 nt
Filed under: uncultured bacterium
Lineage: Bacteria
Description: partial 16S ribosomal RNA
Rfam family: Bacterial small subunit ribosomal RNA
Source: RNAcentral
GACGAACGCUGGCGGCGUGCUUAACACAUGCAAGUCGAACGGAAAGGCCUGCUUUCCCUUGUGGAUUGCGGGUACUCGAGUGGCGAACGGGUGAGUAACACGUGAGUGAUCUGCCCCCAACUUGGGUAUAAGCCUGGGAAACUGGGUCUAAUUCCCGAUAGGACUGCAGGGUGGUGCCUGUGGUGGAAAACGAUUUUCUAGUGGUUGGGGAUGAGCUCGCGGCCUAUCAGCUUGUUGGUGGGGUAAUGGCCUACCAAGGCGGCGACGGGUAGCCGGCCUGAGAGGGUGGACGGGCACAUUUGGACCGGGGUAACGCCCCGACUCCUAAGGGGGGCAGGAGGUGGGGAUAAUGGCCCAUUGGCGGGAGGCUGAAGCAGCGACGCCGGGUGGGGGAUGACGGCCUUCGGGUUGUAAACUCCUUUCGACCGCGAGGAAGCCACCUGGUUGGAAGGGUGGUGACGGUAGUGGUAGAAGAAGCACCGGCUAACUACGUG